Candidatus Buchananbacteria bacterium is the source of this 271-nucleotide non-coding RNA. The record is from Rfam. NCBI's taxonomy places the organism in Bacteria, Candidatus Buchananiibacteriota.
GAGAUAGCUAGGCUGGCGCGCUGGUCCUGCGCUGUUACCGUGAACGGACCUCACACGGAGCCGAAGCCUAAUUGAAGGCCUCAAGAGCGUUCAAUGGCCUCUUGUCUAACCGUCGAAGUCCUGUCCUGUGGGACUCUACCUCAUCGAAUCGUGUCAGAUUGGGAACAAAGCAGCACUAAGGUGAACGUAGCAGUGUUCGCAGGGUCGCAGGAUGGAGGAAAGAUAAGAAUCAACCAUGGAUGUUCUGGUUGUCGACAGUUGGGCGUGCCUC